GACGAACGCUGGCGGCGUGCUUAACACAUGCAAGUCGAACGGAAAGGCCCCCUUGUGGGGUACUCGAGUGGCGAACGGGUGAGUAACACGUGAGUAAUCUACUCUUGUCUUUGGGAUAAUUUCAGGAAACUGGGGCUAAUACUGGAUAGGAGCUCCUGCUGCAUGGUGGGGGUUGGUAAGUUUCGGCGGUUGGGGAUGGACUCGCGGCUUAUCAGCUUGUUGGUGGGGUAGUGGCUCACCAAGGCUUUGACGGGUAGCCGGCCUGAGAGGGUGACCGGCCACAUUGGGACUGAGAUACGGCCCAGACUCCUACGGGAGGCAGCAGUGGGGAAUAUUGCACAAUGGGCGGAAGCCUGAUGCAGCAACGCCGCGUGCGGGAUGACGGCCUUCGGGUUGUAAACCGCUUUCGCCUGUGACGAAGCGUGAGUGACGGUAAUGGGUAAAGAAGCACCGGCUAACUACGUG
This 465-nucleotide ribosomal RNA is filed under the name uncultured bacterium. RNAcentral describes it as "partial 16S ribosomal RNA". It matches the Rfam family "Bacterial small subunit ribosomal RNA", at positions 28 to 507 of the family's 1533-position model. The record is from RNAcentral.